AUUCUUCUGCAUAUUCUUAUACAAUAAGGAUAAACAAUCAUACAAACUAACAAAAACAUCACAUCCUUAAAUAUAUGCUGGAUACCUAUGGUGACGAAGCCGGCCAAAAAAGAAAAUAGAUCUAAGCAUACUUCACAAUAUUUCCGCCACAAUACUAAAAAAAAUUCACUCUCUACACUGGAAAAUUAACUCAAAAUCGUCGGAGAACGUCGCACCAUCCCUAAGAAGAACCGCUGCUGCAGGACCACCCGUUGAAGUACCGCCGAUGGAGGAAGGAACGUCGUCACCGCCGCUGGAGAGGAAGGGUGGCCGCCUCCGCCUUCAAUUUCUCGGGAGAGAAACUAGAAAAUUAGAAAGAAACGUAAAGAGAGAGAGAGAGAGAGAGAGAGAGAGAGAGAGAGAUCUGCCUAAAUCUAGAUGGCCGUGAGAUCUGGCUUCUCUUCGCUGGACUUGAGGAGAUCUGCCUGAAUCUGGAUGGCCGACGGAUCUGCCUGAAACUUGAGGAGAUCGACUUGUCUCCUGCAAAACUGUGCGGCGCUGCCGAUGUGUGUCACUGUGGUGGUGGCUGCCGCGGCGUCGAUGUGACGCCGGAGAAAUUGGGGAAGAAGUACGCCGCGUGGAGCAGAUAGGUGGCGGAGGAAGGAAGAGAUGGCAGCGGCGCCGGUAGUUAAAGAGAGAGAGAGAGACGUGAAGGUGAAGAGUGAGAGUGACGUGAAUUGUGGUGAUGAAUUGAAUUCGAGAGAGCGGCCAUUUUUUAAUAUUUUAAAGGGAGGGGUAUUUAUGACCUUGUGUUCAAAAACUGA
RNAcentral lists this long non-coding RNA (803 nucleotides) under Salvia miltiorrhiza (redroot sage). RNAcentral's name for it is "long non-coding RNA (SMIL_LNC006544)". The record is from RNAcentral. Lineage: Eukaryota; Viridiplantae; Streptophyta; Magnoliopsida; Lamiales; Lamiaceae.